UGUCCUUGAACUCCUAUCUUCCUGCCUCUACCUCCCAAAUGCUGGGAUUACCAUGCCUGGCUCAGAUUUUUAGACUUUAAAGACACUAACCAUAUAACUUUGGUUUUUCUUGCCCCUGCCCCACCCAACUGCUGCAUAUGCUUUUAGAAUUGAUGCAUUUCAGUAUUACCAUUAAAACAUGAGAAUCCUUCUCCAUUUUUGUGGUGCUGGGAAUCAAAUUGAAGACCUAGCAAGUGCUUGGUAAGCAUUUGACCACUGAGCAACACUCCUCAGCCCCAAACAGGAUUCUUAACACUCAUGAAACCACCUAGGAGCAGAUUGUAGCCUCAUUAGGUAUUAAAGGUUCUCUCACUGUAUCAUCAGAGCUGCUAGUCAUUACUGGCAAUCAGUUUAAAUUACCAGAAAGCUGCUGGAAACACUCGCCAUUCACGUUGUUCGUAAGCGCUGCUUGCUGGCAUUUUGGUGUGUUUGGAGCCAUAGAGAGAGAGUGUCCUGUGCUGACCACUUCUGUUGCGUCCACGCUGCGUUCAUUUCCUGUUCACUACUAAUGGUGCUUCUCAUCCUCUGAUCUCUUCUCUCUCGUGUGUUAAACAAGUGUAUUAAAGAUGCUUCAUAAUGCCAACAACAUAGCAGGUCAGUGAACAUGAUCCCAUAGUAAAAUACAAGGGGUCCCCAAAAUUAGUGAUUGCUUCACACUUACUGCCCUGUGGGCUCUCUGGGGACACUGCAACAGAAGCCACAAACUUGCACAAAACAUCAUUUGAAAGUUUUAAUUUUACCAAUUUGAAGCUAAUUUAAUUUUAUUGUUUCUCAGUUAUAACCGUAAACCAAAAAUAUUCCAAAUGUGGGAAAUUAAGUUGAAGGGAAAGGUGACUUAAAACUUUCAAAUAAUGUUUCAUUAGUUUUGUAGCGUUUGUGAUUGUAAGGCAUCAGAGCUGACAACUACGUGGAGCUGUGGGAGCUGCCGUGCCUUUCCAUGGAAGCACUCUGUUCUCAAGUGUUCUUUGCCAGGCUGGGCUCUAGCCGCUUUGAUCACCUAAGUGUCUUUACGCUCAGUCAAGGGAGGCUAUUAAAGUGGUGGUAACUCACAUGGAACAAAUCAAAAGAAAUCAGAUCCUCAAACAGCAGGUGAAAUGAGCAAUUAAAACCCUGCGCGCUCUCCUGGGUGCAGGUCUCUCUCAAGCCGCAUCCUUGCAGGCCUAUGCACCGGCUUUCAACGGCAGGGAGCGAAGACUGGGAAAGGGAUGGCAGUAGCAGCUAAAGCUGAAAUAAUAAAAGAUUUGCAUCCUACAACUAUGUGCAUUCUAUUUCUUCUCACAUCUAACCUUGGGAGUCUUACCUAAAAAGCCUUUUGUGGGCCACGAAUACUUCCUCUUGAGGCUGCAAUGCUUCCCAUGCUCGUCAGUGCUGCCAGGCUCAUCACUUUCAAGGGACAGACAUAAGUGUUACGGAAGGAUGUAUGAAAUAUUACAAUCUACCACCUCAAAAAACAUUGUUUAUGGAGUUCAGAGCUUAGAGAUUCAAGUAUUGAUUGCAGUUUUAUUUUGAAAAGAAUGCUACAACUUAACGUGGUUUUUCUUUCUCAUGUUUAUAUUAAAAGCUAAUAAAUUCUAUUUU
Molecule: long non-coding RNA, 1617 nt
Filed under: Mus musculus (house mouse)
Lineage: Eukaryota; Metazoa; Chordata; Mammalia; Rodentia; Muridae
Description: long non-coding RNA chr1:64724019-64725636
Source: RNAcentral